GACGUAGGGCGCGAGCGUUGUCCGGAUUUAUUGGGCGUAAAGAGCUCGUAGGCGGCUUGUCGCGUCGUCCGUGAAAACCUGCAGCUCAACUGCAGGCUUGCGGUCGAUACGGGCAGGCUAGAGUUCGGUAGGGGAGACUGGAAUUCCUGGUGUAGCGGUGAAAUGCGCAGAUAUCAGGAGGAACACCGGUGGCGAAGGCGGAUCUCUGGGCCUUACCUGACGCUCAGGUGCGAAAGCUAGGGGAGCGAACAGG
RNAcentral lists this ribosomal RNA (253 nucleotides) under uncultured bacterium. RNAcentral's name for it is "partial 16S ribosomal RNA". It matches the Rfam family "Bacterial small subunit ribosomal RNA", at positions 524 to 776 of the family's 1533-position model. The record is from RNAcentral.